This 508-nucleotide ribosomal RNA is filed under the name uncultured bacterium. RNAcentral describes it as "partial 16S ribosomal RNA". It matches the Rfam family "Bacterial small subunit ribosomal RNA", at positions 30 to 523 of the family's 1533-position model. The record is from RNAcentral.
AUUGAACGCUGGCGGCAGGCCUAACACAUGCAAGUUGAGCGGCAGCGGGAAAGUAGCUUGCUACUUUUGCCGGCGUGCGGCGGACGGGUGAGUAAUGCCUGGGGAUCUGCCCAGUCGAGGGGGAUAACUACUGGAAACGGUAGCUAAUACCGCAUACGCCCUACGGGGGAAAGCAGGGGACCUUCGGGCCUUGCGCGAUUGGAUGAACCCAGGUGGGAUUAGCUAGUUGGUGAGGUAAUGGCUCACCAAGGCGACGAUCCCUAGCUGGUCUGAGAGGAUGAUCAGCCACACUGGAACUGAGACACGGUCCAGACUCCUACGGGAGGCAGCAGUGGGGAAUAUUGCACAAUGGGGGAAACCCUGAUGCAGCCAUGCCGCGUGUGUGAAGAAGGCCUUCGGGUUGUAAAGCACUUUCAGCGAGGAGGAAAGGUUGGUAGCUAAUAACUGCCAGCUGUGACGUUACUCGCAGAAGAAGCACCGGCUAACUCCGUGCCAGCCGCCGCAGUAA